CCUACGGGUGGCAGCAGUGAGGAAUAUUGGUCAAUGGACGAGAGUCUGAACCAGCCAAGUAGCGUGAAGGAUGACUGCCCUAUGGGUUGUAAACUUCUUUUAUAUGGGAAUAAAAUGUUCCACGUGUGGGAUUUUGUAUGUACCAUAUGAAUAAGGAUCGGCUAACUCCGUGCCAGCAGCCGCGGUAAUACGGAGGAUCUGAGCCUUAUCCGGAUUUAUUGGGUUUAAAGGGAGCGUAGGUGGAUUGUUAAGUCAGUUGUGAAAGUUUGCGGCUCAACCGUAAAAUUGCAGUUGAAACUGGCAGUCUUGAGUACAGUAGAGGUGGGCGGAAUUCGUGGUGUAGCGGUGAAAUGCUUAGAUAUCACGAAGAACUCCGAUUGCGAAGGCAGUUCACUGGACUGCAACUGACACUGAGGCUCGAAAGUGUGGGUAUCAAACAGGAUUAGAUACCCCAGUAGUC
RNAcentral lists this ribosomal RNA (460 nucleotides) under uncultured bacterium. RNAcentral describes it as "partial 16S ribosomal RNA". It matches the Rfam family "Bacterial small subunit ribosomal RNA", at positions 338 to 795 of the family's 1533-position model. The record is from RNAcentral.